ACUCCAGUGCAUGGGGUAAGACCCAUGCUUUUCUUGACUCUAAAUAGGUCUUGGAAUAAGGGGUGGGUAAGGACGGUGCCAGCCGCCGCGGUAAUACCGGCGCCUCAAGUGGUAGUCGCUUUUAUUGGGCCUAAAACGUCCGUAGCCGGUCUGAUACAUUCGUGGGUAAAUCAACCAGCUUAACUGGUUGAAUUCUGCGAGGACGGUCAGACUUGGGACCGGGAGAGGUGUGGGGUACGCUCAGGGUAGGGGUAAAAUCCUGUCAUCCUGAGCGGACCACCUGUUGCGAAGGCGCCACACUAGAACGGAUCCGACGGUCAGGGACGAAGCCUAGGGGCACGAACCGGAUUAGAUACCCGGGUAGUCCUAGGUGUAAACGCUGUGGACUUGAUGUUGGGGGUGCUCCGAGCACUCUCAGUGUCGAAGCGAAGGUGAUAAGUCCACUGCCUGGGAAGUACGGUCGCAAGGCUGAAACUUAAAGGAAUU
This 486-nucleotide ribosomal RNA is filed under the name uncultured archaeon. RNAcentral's name for it is "bacterial SSU rRNA". It matches the Rfam family "Archaeal small subunit ribosomal RNA", at positions 379 to 866 of the family's 1478-position model. The record is from RNAcentral.